AAGACUUUAAGUUAAAUAAACUAUGAGCCUUCAAAGCUCGAAAUAAAAAAGUAUUUUUAAGUCUUG
This 66-nucleotide transfer RNA is filed under the name Provanna aff. glabra PrHt3b. RNAcentral's name for it is "tRNA-Trp". Lineage: Eukaryota; Metazoa; Mollusca; Gastropoda; Provannidae. The record is from RNAcentral.